AUGUUCUGUUUUGAAAGAAUGCAACCCAGUUAAUGACACUCCAUCUGCACCUGAAAGCAGUGACAUUACAACUCAAUCAGACCAGGUGUCAGAUGAUGAAGAAGCUGACCACAUAUAUGAAACUCAAACACACGGGUUACUCUUGGACACAUGUUUGCAACCAAUAGAUAUCGCACAAGAAAUAUUUGAUCAGCAUUUCGAAAGUGUUUUAUCAAUAGCUCCAGCUGAAGGCAACAGUCCUGUUAGGCUGCUGACAGAUAAGGGCAAUGAAGCAAAAUGUUUCCCAACUCUUUUCCCCAAAGGGACAGGUACAUUCCAUGAUGCACGGCCCCACAGGCUCACUCUCAGUAGAUACAUCAACACACGAAUCCUAAAUGCUGAUGGGAGGUUUAGCAGCAACUUGGACUACAUUUUCUAUGCUCAAUAUUUAUCUGAGGUCAAUCAGGUUGUUUCCAAGGUGUCCAUAGCACUGAGAAAAGGUUACCAUGCAGGGGAAUCAUUGGCUAUAACUUCCGCCAUGCUUUCAAACAAAGACUAUGUACAAAAUGUCUUAAAAACCGAUCUCGGUUACAAGUUCCUUCAACCGAUCCGAGGGACUCCAGUUUUUUGGCAAGGUGUACAGAAAAAUCUAUUUGCUAUGGUUCGUCAGCUUGGUGUCCCUACUUGGUUCUGUUCAUUUUCAUGUGCUGAUUUACGCUGGACUGAACUCAUCGAUGUUUUCAUGAGACUACAGAAAAUACAGGGAAAUGUCAACGACCUGGACUGGUCACAGAGGUGCAAUUUACUCAAAACUAAUCCGGUUACCGCGGCAAGAAUGUUCCAACACAGGUUUCAGACUUUCCUAAAUGACGUCAUCAAGUCACCAGCUAACCCCAUUGGUAAAGUUAUCGACACAUUUUUUAGAGUUGAAUUCCAACAACGCGGCUCACCCCAUACUCAUUGUCUGUUCUGGGUAGAAAAUGCACCGAAAAUAGGCAAAAACACAGACCAAGAAGUCACACAAUUUAUAGAUAAAUACAUCAGUUGUGAACUCCCGCCAGCAACCGACGCAUUGCAUGAAGUUGUUUCCAGCGUUCAAAAACACAGCUCCAAGCACUCAAAGAGUUGUAGGAAAAAAGGCACAACAUGCAGAUUUAACUUUCCACGUCCUCCAAGCAACCACACCUUUCUUUGUAGAAGUAAAACAGACGAGAAGCAGGAGGUAACAGACGCUGAUCCGAUAGACGUCUCUAUAUUAGAAAUGCGAAAAGAAAAAGAGGUGGCUAAAAGUGUCAUGACAAGGGUCAAACAUGCUCUUUCAAGUCCAGACCUAACCUUCGACACUGUGGAUCAGCUAUUUGCUUCCGUUAACAUCACCCAGGAAAUGUUUGAAAAUGCCUACCGAUUGACAACCAAUAAAAACGCGGUUGUACACAAACGCAACCCAUCAGAUGUUUACGUUAAUCAAUACAACAAAGACCUUUUGCGUUGCUGGGAUGCCAACAUGGACAUACAAUAUGUCUGCGAUGCUUUUGCUUGUGUAGUAUACAUAAUAUCCUACAUCUCAAAAGCAGAACAAGACAUGGGCUUAUUGUUACAACAUACUCAAAAUGAAAUGAAAAAACAUGGAAAUUUAGAUGCAAAACAAACACUCAAUAAGUUGGGAAGUGUCUUUCUCCACAAUCGCGAGGUCUCAGCUCAAGAAAGUGUUUAUCGAGUUACAAACAUGCAUCUCAACGAAUGCUCAAGACUGGUCACAUUUAUCCCUACUGGUGAAAAUACCGUCAGAAUGAGUUAUCCUCUCAGUGUCAUUCAAAGCAAAGCAGAACAGGGUGACACGUCAACAGAAUCGAUAUGGAUGACGAGCACAACGGACCGCUACAAAAACCGCCCCCAGGGCGCAAUUUUUAAUGAUAUUUGUAUAGCCACAUUUGUUUCAAAAUACAGAGUUUUGUACGGGAAAGAGCAGCACAGCAAUGGCUCUGUUAAACUGGAAAAUAACACUGGCUUUGUUAAGAUGAGAACUAGGGGAUCUGAUGCUGUUGCUAGAUACGCUCGUUUCUCACAAACCAAAUAUCCAGAAAAACACUACCAAAGUUUGCUACAAUUGUUUUUGCCUCAUUAUACAACAGAUGAGUUAAAACCUCCACCGUACAACAGUUAUGAGCAGUUUUACAGGACCGGUUCCAUCACUAACAGCAGCAAUACAACGCAAAGUGUUAAGGAAGUUGUAGAUUUGAACAGAUCCCUCUUUGAAGUAGAUGCAGAUGAGCUCGAUAGACGCCAAGAGGUUGCAGGGCACCACGGGGCUCACGACGAGGCAUGGGCAGACCUUUGCCCUGAAUCUGAGUUGGAGCGAUUAGAAUGUCAGGAGAUGUCUAACAACAACGACACAAAUCAAAAUGAAAGAGAAGCCAUACCGGACUUGCAGUCGGACACAAAGGCGACACUGUCUAAAGAAUUUCCCACACACUCGAUACAAAGAGCUGAAGGCCUGUCCAUUAUGCGCACGUUAAACGAACAACAGACUCAAAUUUUUUACAAAAUCCGCGCAUGGUGCCUUGACAAAGUCAAUGGCAAAAACCCUGACCCGUUUCGCGUAUUCAUUUCAGGGGGAGCAGGCACAGGAAAGUCCCACCUGAUUAAAGCUGUGUACUACGAGUCAUGCAGAC
Gadus morhua (Atlantic cod) is the source of this 2651-nucleotide long non-coding RNA. The record is from Ensembl. NCBI's taxonomy places the organism in Eukaryota, Metazoa, Chordata, Actinopteri, Gadiformes, Gadidae.